GGGUUUUGGGUCUGAGGGCGGAGAUUUGGGAUCGGCGGCCGCGACGGAUAUAAGGGGAGAGAGGGAGGAGGCGUCGGAGGAAGGUAAACAGACCCUCUCCGCCGGCUCGCUCGCUCGCUCGCGCCUUCGUAGGGGGCCGUCUAAGCAAGAAGACCCGUCCACGUUGUCGGUACCUAUAGUGAGUCUAAGACGAUCGACGGGUCAGAGGUCUACCGUUGGAAGCGAGUCGUCGUCUUCCGUUGUAGUUCGUCAAGGUCCUCGUCUUAGAAGGGUUGAAGGAGGAUAGGAACAGUCACCUCAAUAGCUUACUACUUUCUGGUGGUCUCAGAUCUUCUGAACGACCAUAAUAGGAAUUCUUGAGUGACCUGCGUUUCCUAAGACGUUUCUUCCUCGACGACUGAGUUGUUACCCAGUCGAACCUAGUGAGCUAGUUUAACGUCUAAUUCCUCAGUAACGACUAUUGUGAUCCUAGAAGCCACCCACUACGCGCCGUCUGCAGUAGUGUUCAGUAACGUUUCUAACGUAGGUAACUCUAUGGGGCAGCCCUUACCGUUCUGGAGUAACGGUUUAAUAACUCGUUGUACUGCGUCGGACCCCGGAGACACGGUGAUUUCGUUCGUUGAGAUCUUCGUAACCCCAUACACACACUCCUCUAAGGAGGACUCGUGAACCUCGUCCUAGUUCACUUGCGACAAGACUGACGACACCAAGUCCCCUACUUGGUCUGUCUCGAUUCGAGACUUCAGGCAGAACGUCGUCAAUUUCGAGACAUAUUACGAGAACUGAAACGACUCUCGUUGAAACGUUUACUCUACCUCUCCUGGAAAUAUUACUUCCAUUAAACACUAUGACGACAUAGAUUCCUUCACCUCUAGUCUGUCCGUCGGAAACUUACGGAACACCGUUAACGUAGGUGUAUAAUACACGUGAAUCUAGGAAUAUACGUUUGGUAUAAGUUGGACUGUCGAUUACGACAGUUUCCUCUACUCCUUGGUCAACGUGACGUCCGACAACUCAAGACCUCAUGAUAAACACUCCUUCUCUAACUUGAGGUUCUCCUUAUACUCCCUAGACUACUACGAUUGAGUUGACAUUUAAUAGCGAAGUAACUCUUCCGGGAGGGAAGUGAACAAGGUUACGACGAUCUUUGAGACAACUUCGUUCUCCUUCUAGUUCUCGUUCUACUAUUACGAACCUUGUAAAGGUACUCACCGCCUUGUACGGAACCUGAGUAACGAUCUUGACAACCACUACGUUAACAGGGAGAACACUACGGUAAACACCUUCGAUUGUAGUGUUUCGGUCUGACCGCAACAGCACUCCGUCGGUGAAAACGUAAACCAAGAUAGGAACUACCGGGUAGGGAACUCUUUGAACGAGGGGACCAUGUCCGGCCUGAACUAAAGAACGAGUUAUGUUACUUACUAGGUUUGUCGGUCCAUUUUCUGUGGUGACGUACCUGAGAACCUGCCCAUAAACUCGAAAACGUAAGAGGUACGUCAUGAUUAGGUUAGUAUAGUUUACGUUUGGAAGGAGCAUAGUACCGACACGACGAUCUCUCAUCGUUUCUACAAGGUUUACACCGACUCUUUCAGACACCUCGGUAUAUAAAAGAACGGGUUCCAAUACUUCUACGUCUCGGCCGGAGUAGAAACGAAUGUGGAAUAGAAGGAUUACAAUAACGACGUGAGGAAUGACGGCGCCUAGCACCACUAUACUGGGUACACUCCGAAGCACGUAGACGAAUACUUCGCGACUUACUCUAACGCUGUUCCUCUUCGUUUCGCUAGACGUCCGAAACGACACACCACAUGACGUCACGAUGACAUGUACUUCUUCGUUACGAACGGUAACCACGAGAACGAAUACGGUGUCCAGGUCUAAAACACUUUAUGUACGGACUCAAAAAGUUCAUGGAACUCCGUCCGAACGUCUUAAUACUUCUUAUGGUUCAUACGAGGUAGAGACAUCCCCACCACCCACUAUAAACGGCACGGAACCUUCUAUUUUAAAACGGGAAGACACUACCCUAGUACUGACACGAAGAGUUCCUAGAGAGUUUGAGUGUCGAGUUGUCCAGACAGUUCGGAGGCUAAAAGAGUACGAAACCUCUGUAACGAGAACGGUAGCCACUCUUAAAACUCUUCAUGGACGGCAUACGAUACGGUUACGAAGUUCCCCGCCGACUCGAAGAACAACAAAACCUAGUUUUACUACUCCUAUACCAACUAAUACCAUUGGUCGAGUCUGCCCCUUAUAAACUCCGCAUGAGACCGUAUGAUGUCCCGUAUUUCCCGCGUUUUCGAGUCGACUACUAUGGAAUACGUCCUGUAGACAACGUCAAGUGACUUCGACAGAUGUUUCUAGCCUCGUCCCUGCUCUCGCACUGUUUCCGACGUCAACGACAGGACCCCCUAGAACGCCUGUGCGAACCCGGUUAGAGCUUCCUAGACAAGUUCUCGGUGGAGAAGGUGCAACUCAAGGACUCCCUCACGGAGCUAAACCUACUACUUCAGUCCCUCUGCCGCAGUACCUGGGUCCCCUACUAUUUGGUUCGCUAUCAGAGGAUCUGCUCUUUAAUAGAACGCAGCAGACAAUACCACCUACAAACCAAAACAACGACGCGGUUUGAGGCAAACCCAAACCAAGUCUACUUGUCUUCCCAUGGUUUCAUAUCGCAGUCAGUCAGCAUCCUUGUAACAGCAUCUACAGAAGACACCACCAAAUAAUAAAAGUCAGACAGUUCAGCAAUACGCAGUGUAAGCUGCCGUCACCCCAAAUACCCGUAACCUGCAGAACUUGUCGAUUUGAAUAAUAACAUAAGAUGAGCAAACACAACGCAUGAACGUACGUACGAUACGACGACGACUACAGAGAAGACGUACCACAAAGACGCUCGACGUCAUACGUGACUCCGUCAGACCAAUGUUUUAGACCUGUUUGAUGUUCCAGACAUCACUUCGCUUUUAUGUUCGUGUGGAAACAGUGAUACGAUACGAUGUGGUGAACGUGUGUGACGCUAAAGUUGACAACCAUAUGCUUGAGAACAUCGUUUGGACAUACGAGUCGAGGAAGUCCACCGGAGCCACCUCUACUAGAGGUCGAGGCGGGUGGUGUCGCCGCUGUGGAACCCCCACCGGCGGAGGCCGCCGUACCGGCACUAGAGGGAGUCGGCGGAGCGGUGGAGACGGUAGCGCCCAGCGGCGGAGCGGAGGGCCAGCCACGUCCUGGCAUAGUGCGGCAGGUCGGACAACUGCCAGAGCCGGACCGCCCCGCGCAAGGUCGAGUCCGGUCCCAGGUACUGCAGGGAGUCGACGGAGAGGGGAGCCUCCUUCGAGCGGCGGGUCGGGAGGUCGUCCGGCGGCCGGCUGCGGCACUUGGACGGCCUGUACUAGAGGUCGUCGUGGUACGGCAUCGACAUGUGUUGCGAGAGGGACAGCCUGUCUCGGUCCUCCCUGACGUCCGAGCGGUAGAGGCGGGAACAGCUGCUCCGCAGCAGGCUCGUCUUCUUCUGUAGGCGUUAGAACCGGCGCUUCAGCAGCCAUUCCAUGUGCCACCUGCACAGCUCGCAGAACUCCUAGAGGCCGCCCGAGUCGACCACGUACACGAGGUCCGUCAUCCGCUAGGGGUGGCGGUGGGCGUCGG
RNAcentral lists this ribosomal RNA (3645 nucleotides) under Triticum aestivum (bread wheat). Its description in RNAcentral is "partial small subunit ribosomal RNA". Lineage: Eukaryota; Viridiplantae; Streptophyta; Magnoliopsida; Poales; Poaceae. The record is from RNAcentral.